Haplochromis burtoni (Burton's mouthbrooder) is the source of this 4731-nucleotide RNA transcript. It is a transcript of the gene named nectin-4-like, with no coding region annotated. NCBI's taxonomy places the organism in Eukaryota, Metazoa, Chordata, Actinopteri, Cichliformes, Cichlidae. The record is from RefSeq and is a predicted model, not a curated record. The transcript is spliced from 4 exons.
GUGAGUGCCACAAACCACAAAAAUCUUUAACAAUUAAGUUUUAUAACUUGAAAUGCAAAUAUGAAUUGUUAGAUUUAACAGAAAAUUAUUGACAAAUUUAGCAAAUGACAAAGUUCUAUAACAGCUUUUGACAUGCAAACAAUGCCUCAAUUUUUUUUCAUUACACUACAUACUAAUGAUUCACUAAAAUACACUCUGUUAAAUGUCCCAAAUUUAUCAAAUUCCAAAACUUAUUGAUAUCACUCUCUCUUUCACCACUGUCACUUCAACAAUGUCCCCAUAUUUACACACACACGCACACACAGCAGAUAAGUAUUGAACACAUCACCAAUUUUUCUAAGUUAACAUAUUUCUAAAGGUGGCACUGAAAUGAAAUUCUCAUCAAAUGUCAUUAACAACCCAUCUAAUUCACACGUGCAAGGAACCAUAACAUGCCAUACCAUCAAAACCAUUGAGGUCAAUAAUGCACCAAGUCACAGCAAAAGCUGUUUCAGAUUUGUUUGUCAAGUAUAAAGGUUAUUUGUGACCGACAUGCUUGACGUUAAGAUAAAUGUAAUUUAUCUUUCCAGUCGUAAGUCAUUGAAUAUAAAUGGGAAAUGGCAGAGGAGGAGGUUUGCUGGUCACACCAUCAGCAAAAAUAAUGGAAGUUGCAAUGAAAGUGAAAAGCAGGCUUAUUCAGAAGUGCAUUAUUGUUAUUGAUAUGGUACAACUGUGGGGUCCUGUUUCUGGUUGAUUUUCCAUGUAAUGUAAUAUUCUUUUUUUCAUCAUCAAGGUGAUUAUAAAUUAGCCAGUCACAACCUUGUUACUGUUUUUGUCUUGAAAAGAUUGACUGUUUUGUCUGAUGCAAUGAGACCCAAACAUUUGUGAAACAUUACUUCGAUAUUAUUACUAUGUCCUCAAUUCAGGAUUAACACAGUUUUCUGUCUUUUUUUUUUUUGCAGUCUCUCCCACAGAAGUGAAUAUUAGAAUGAUUACACAAGACUCAUUUGAGUGUGUGACAGAAUCCAACCCAAGUGCCAAUUUUAUCUGGAAUCUGGCCAGACUCUGCUGCAGUCUUCUAUCAAAGUCGACGGUGCACAGCUACAACUGCUGAGUCUGACCUCUGAUCUAAAUGGCCUCUAUCAGUGUGAAGCAUCUAAUGCAUAUGGAACUAAACAUGGUCAGCUCUAUGUGCAUGUGGCAUCAGGUGCAUGCUCUGCUGUUUGGGCCCUAGUUGGUGCUUUGUUUUUCCUGAAUGUUGUUGUUGCUGCAGUAUGGUACCUUAAUAAAUCCAGGCAACUUCAAAGGUGUUUUCCAUCACAUGGUGAUGGGCCUAGAGACCCACCAUCUCCCAGGAGUGCAGGAGAUGAUCAAAGACGAGAGCAAGAACAACUGCAGGAAGUGAGCGAGGUCACCAACGGUUAAUUUGUAGAGACGUUAAAGUCAAAAUUAAUUAUGUUAAAUAUAAAUUAAUUAAUAUGUCUCUCAAUAUUUUGGUGCUAAUGACUUAACUUACAGUUUUUCUCAAUUGCUUCUGUGCAAUUCUCACAGCAGAAAAGUCAUUCAAACCACUCUUCAUGCAAUUCUCAAAACAGAGCAUUUUUCAUAACAGAGUCUCUUGUGCAAAAGGAACUACUACAAUCAAAACCUUUCUUACAUUGUUCAAAAAACGAAUAGUCAGUCAGUCACUUUAUCUCUGUGAUGAAUGAAUAGAAACCUUUCACCACCCUUUAAAGACGUAGUCAUCAAAUUGUUUAGUUUUAUUUUCCCUCAAAACCUUAAAUGACUUUAGAAGUAUUGCAAAAAUGUAGGCCUAAUGUAGUGUACACAUAUUUCAGAAACAAAAGUGAAAUCCGAAGGAUUUUAAUAUUUAUUUUACAAAACUGAUGAAAUUGAGAAAAGCAAAAUAAUAAUCUUUAAACUAUAUGCAAAAGAAAACAGACAAAAAUAGAAUAGUGAGACUGACUUUUCUGCUCUGAGAACUGGGCCAAAGCAAUCGAAAAAAAAUGUAAUGCAAAACUCUCUGAUAUGGUGGAGAUAUGUUUAUUUUUUUUUAUCAUUUUAUUAAAUCUGCCCUUCUUUUUUAAAUAGUGUGUUGAAUAUUACAGAAGUAUUACUAUUCUUUGUAAAAUCGGCAGAUACACAGAGUCUUUGCGUGUUUGUUUUAAAUUCAAUGCAGGUUUUUAAACAAUUGUUCUGAAUUCUCUGCCUCAGCAAUCCCUCUGACAGUUGUGGAAGCCAAAGAUGGAAAAUAUCUCAACUGAAGUUUCUACCAACAUAUUAUUCUAGAGUUAGCUUAGUCUUUUUAAAAAGGCCAUGUUGUGAAACAACUUCACAUGUAACUGGAACAACCGUUAGGAUGUGGUUUUAACUGUCUGUUCUUCUAUUGUCAUGAAAAGCUUUAACUAUAUUUGCCAUCUGUUCUUGUGUUUCCACCAACUUGUCAAAAGCUUUCAUCAUCAGUGAAAGCUGUUGACAGCUAUAGUAAUGUGGUUACUGUAAAUUCAUGAAUGAAAAAUCCACCUGCCUUCAGUAACACCCUUCCCUAAGGGUAACAAUAGAAGUAUUUAAGGUUAUAAUGUACAAUACUGGCCAAUUGUGCACACAUCAACCAUUCAUAUGGAAUUACAUGUUUUCCUUUUUUGUUUGUGCCUAUAAAAGCACUAUGACAGUAUCCAGUCAGUGUGCUAGCACAGCUGCAGCAGGUGUGUCUGCAUUGAAGCUCUGGCUGAUGUUCUUUACUCCUCCUGAUAACACGAGUCAUUAAGCUGCAGUUUAUAAAACCCACAGUGUUUGUAUCAGAAACACUAAAUGAAUUACCAGUACAAUACAAAAACUCACACAGAGAAUAGCUUCACUGCACACUGUGAAUGGUGCUAAAUUUCUCUUGUGCAUGAUGAUGGUGCACACACUUACUCCCCUCCAGUAAAACUACUACAUAAAACUAUAAUAAAACAGGCCUGCACUUGUCUGUACUUGCCAUGAAUGUACAAGUUUUGCUCUAAUAAAACAAAACUUACACAUGCAAGUAAAAAAAAAUCUUAAUCUUUAUUCAUGUAUUUACUUAAAUGAAUGUGCUGAUCAACAGUUAAUAAGAAACCUGAACAGAAAGCCCGAGUAUAUGAACAGAUUUCUUAUAAACUUAUGGGAGUAUGAUUAAAUACUCAUUUUUAGGUAAUGAUAAAAUACUAAAAAUGGUAAAUUUAAAAUUUAAUAUUAUAUGAAUACAAGACUACAUAGUGCAUUAAGUAACAAAUGCUAAGUUACACAAAUGCAAAUGCACUCUCUUAAUUUCUUAUCUUUUGUUGUUCUGGUUCAGACCUUUAACUUCAUCCGUUCAGCCGAGCUGACUUAUUUAAAUAGACGGGUCUAAUAAGUGUGCUGACUGAUAAAGAGCUGUUUUUACUUCACUGUUAUGAAAAGUGUGUCAUCAUAAAGACGGAAACUGACUGUAACUGAUAAUUCUGUUCGACAUUGGCUUACGUAUUUCUGCAAAGCUUAUGAUGCCUGUAUUUUCCCAGGAGCUAUCACUUGGAUCUCUGUUUCCAGAGAGCCAGACUCGCUCUACAGUGUUUGCUGUAAGCUGCUUCGCUUUCCAAAAUGGUUAAAGGCAUGUUUAACUUCUGUUGACACACAAACUUUUCAAGUAAUGUCAGUGAAACUCUUUGAUCAUCUGUUUUGUGCCGACUUUUAUUAUGAGUAUACAAGCUAACGACAGGAGGCAAAGUCAGCAAAAAACAGAAUAUGUGACAUGCGCAGUUUCUAAGGUCAAAUUUAAGUUCUGUAUUACAUGCACUACAGAAAAGCAGUGAAAUACUGUGAAAAACAAUGUCAACCUUCAAAAUGCACUCUCAGCUGCUAAUCUGACUUUUCCUUGACCAGUUUAAGAAAAGAAAUGGCUUGAUAGUAGGUCGAUAGACCAUUUUUCACAAAACUGUAUUCGGUAUAUGAAGCUAAAAUUUCACAGCAUGUGUGUUUAAACUUUGGCCCAUAAUUUUUACCCCCAGACGUAAAAAGGCUGAUGGAGUAUUUUGACCAGUUAGUUAACCAAUCAACUAUUUGCUGCCAAGUUUGUGUGUCAAAUGAAGAUAUGUUUGUAUUUUAAUUGUGUAGGUUACAUUUAGCUAAAUUCAUCUUAAUCCUUUAUAGCAAUAGUUACACUAGUACGCGUUUUUUAACUCUAAACUUUAAAUCUCUAAACUUGUUUAUUGAAAGAGUCAGCAUUAAUGAAUAAACUGUGCCUUGUCUUUUCUCUCAUUUACACAUGUACACAGGGGAUAUUUGUGAGAGCCAUUUGACAACAUGUCCUUACACUACACAUUAAAACAGUCUUCUCAAACUGUGGAGCUGGUGGUGCGACUACUGUAGGGAAUAAUUAGCUGACAUUUCAGAGAAAGCUGGAGAAUUACUUUGUUAAAGCAUUACACAGUCAGGGUUCCCUGCUUUUGGAAAGCUAUACAUCAUAUCAAAUCAUAUAUCAUACACCUGUGUCUCAGAUGGUUGUACUUUUCAAUUUAUUUAGGUUUUUGUGUGGCAGCUUUUUUUAAGCAUUCAAUCACUAAAGUGUGUUGUUUGAUCUGUAUUCUAAAUUGACCAAUUAUAAAUCAUUUGGUGUGCUUGCUUUAUAGCUUGUGUCUUUUUAUUGUUUGCUUAAAAUGAAACUUUGUUUUGUAAUUGCUUUUAUAACAUGUUACACUGCUGAAAUACUUUUUGUUAUCAUUUUUCUUCAAAAGUAAAUAAUCAUGCAUAAAA